UGAGCCUUAGGCCACUACCGAGCAGCAACGGAGGAUCAUAAACUGCCUGUACUGUCGAGAUGAUCCCUACUUGAAAAGGCGGAGACAAUACCUCUUGUUGCGACAAAUUGAGUUUCAAAACCACCACCCAGUCAACAAGGCAUACUUGCUCACUGCGAUCUCUAGCACAGUCUCAUUCGUACCGACCCUCUACGGACGGGGUCAAGAGUGCCUUGCCGUUGCUGUCGCGUAUCCAACCACCCUAUCGGUAUCACCUACGCUACUCAUUUCUGACCCCCACCUUCUUGGUUUCGAUAUCCUAUAUGGAACUAUCAGUCAGAGCUCCGAAAUUACUUUCCCUCAUAAACCUUCACUUCAUCCUCAUCGUCCGUUAGCUAGCCCUACUUGUCUUUUGACUCGGAAAAGGCAGUGAAAUCCCUUUUAUACUAUAUGGAACAACUAGGCCAACUACUUGACUUGGCCAUUCUUCGGAUCAAACACCCCUUCUCCUGCCGAAGUGACGUGCCCAACUACGGGAACUGGUUCACCUCACUCUGCUCGCCCACCAUGGAGUUAUGAAUGAAGCUCUUUCCCGCGCAGGCAAUAGCACUACUUUGUCCCCAGCUUCUCAAUGCCAACAAGAAUAGGUAACUUGCUGAGCGGAACAAACGAAUGAAUGGGUAAAAGCUCUCGCCUGACCGGGGUAAAGAAGGGCCUACCUAUUUUGAACUCCACCCCUCGGACUACUUUCCUUCCAUACCCAUAGGACCAAGGGCUCGUACCAACCUCACUAUUUGAAGACACCGGGCUCUUCACGAAAACAGAGCAAAGGGGCUCCUUAACAACCUGAGCCACAUCCGCCCAUGGUGCAGUGUCAAUUCCAUCUGUUCUCGGUUCUGUGGAUGAAAUUCCAUCCAAAAGAUAGGGCCCUGGUAGCCCAACAAAUUGUCUUCCACUAUCUUAUAUAAUAAAAAACCACGGUCACUUCCACUUGCCUAGCUGAGAAAACCACUGUCUCAGUAGCUUCCUCUGGAACAGCAGCGGAGAAAACAAAUAAUCAACAAAGAUGUGAGAGCUUGAUAGACCUAAGGGGUCUCGUCACAAUGAUGAGAUUUAUUUUCAAGCAAGAGUCAUUCCUUUUCGAGAAACAAAAAGUAGGCCAAAACGUGUUUCGUAAUAGAGAGUGAUACUAAGAAGAGUUUCAUUCCUUUCGAGAAAAUGCCCAUCACGCCUCUGCUCUGACAGUCCCUUCAUGCACUGAUUCCCGCGAAGCACUCGGUGGUGGAGAGUAGCAAGUGGUGCCACUCACAGUGGUUGCUUCAGAGUGAGUGGUGGAACCUCUGGGUGAAUAGUCCCUGCGACAAGGCCUCACUCAUCAGGUAAGGGCAGAAGAGGGGAUCGAUGAGGAAGAUCUACUUCUAAUGAGCCUGUGUCAGUGGUUGGACAAUUGACACCAGUAGUUGGGACAGUGGAAGUGGAAGUGCAAUCCCAAUCUGAAUCUGUCGAAUCCACUGAAGAAGCCUCGGUGGGGCAGCGCAUUUUUACUGUCUAAGGGCUCAAGUUAGGUUGGCAAUCUGAAGCUACGACGGUAGGGGCAUCUCACUCAAUAACGGCAAGUCGUGCGUACUAGGUCCCUAAAGGCGCUUGGGGCAACCCUUCUAACAUAACAAUAGAAGUUCCCCGCCCGGAGAAGCGAGAUCUACUGUGGUAGGAUUUUGUUCUAGAGUUUCCACUAGUUAUCCGGGUAAAAUGGACAUAAAUUCAUAUUCGAUGCCUUGACUUGAGUUUCGGAUUCAUUCGAACCAAAAUGAACUACCCCAUUACAAUAGGGUGACGGGCAGCCAAUCAGAUUGACUUUGUGCCGUUACGUAUUUGCCUUGGCGUAUAUCAAUCUGAUACGGCUCGGUGUGGAUGGCAGGCAGUCCUAUAAGUAUAAGUCUUGGUUUAGUCCAGUAAGAUAUAUAGGAUACUUUUCUCUCAUAUUCAUACCGUUCUGUUGGACCCGAGCCACUAUGACCAGGAGGAGAGCUCAAGUCAGUGGCAGGAGAAGGAUAUUUUAAAGGUAAUGAAGAAGUGGAAGAAAGGAUGAGUGGAGAACUACUUUUGUUUGGGAUUUUGCAGCUCCAAGUUCAUAUUAGGCCUUGUGCUUGUUCGCUCAUCAAGGAGACCUACGAGUACGUCUUUGACUUUGGUUUGGCUGGCCUUUAGCUAGCCCAUGGAUCAAAGCUUUUACCUGGACCACCCUCAUGCUUCCACUUGGACAGCCGUUUGCUCCCAUUGAAGCGUUUGCUCGCCUCUUGACCUGGCCCGGUCGGACCUGGUGGGAACUACUACAUGAGCCAACACCUUUUCGAAACGAGAAAAAGGAAAUUAGCUCGCCUGCCACAAAGGAAGCUAAUGGUGCUGCUGACCUCACCCACACCUACUUUUGUUAGAUACCAAUCAGGGGCUGAUUCACGUCUGGUAUUAAUGUAACGGGCAGGCAGCGCUCACUACUUCGUGCUUCAAUUGCAACCUCUUCCCGCCUCACGUCAGAGAGCCUCCUCACGGACAACACAACGGCUAGAAGAGAGGAAGUCAGAGGGAGAGGGACAGCUAACACACAGUUGAAAACAAAGGUAGUUGGGGCUUCGCCAUCACCUGACUUACUGAACACACUCAAACUGAUACUAAGAAAAUAAGAAAGUACUUACAACAGCUAGGUACCGGAGCCCCAGAGUGAAGGCGCGUACACCAUUUUUGUAUUAUUCUUAUUCGAUGAACUUCAAGCCAACUGAACCAAACCUCACUUAUUAUUUUUAUGAAACAAAGACUGUAGCUGCCUAUUUCCCCUAACAUUGAUUUGACUCCCGGCAAGAACACGUAUGCGCGUGACUCACGCGCAACGGCGCGAAAGCCGUUGCUUGUUCUUUCGCGCUAGGCGCUCAGUCCGUUGCUUGUUUGCUCCUACGAUUUGGCUUUGGCUAGCUAGCUGCGGUUUCACUCUCGUAUAGGGGUGGCAUUCCCGUUCCAAGUCGAGUUUCAUAUUCAGUAGUAGACUUGCUUUUAGGAAAGCAGAUGGCACUUUUCCACUGUCAGUAUAGUGUAGUGAGUGCUCCGGCUUCUUGCUUCUUCCGUUCCGUCCCCCCGCAAGUAGUCUUCUUUCCUCCACUCGCCUAGUAGUUUGUAGGCAAGUCGGCUCGAAAGGGACACGUGUAGUUGGUAGUUUUUGGUAGAAGUCGUCAAAGUAGUAUUCGCCUAGUCAGGGGCUUAGGGGGCCGGGCUGGUGAGAAGUAGUAGGAGACAGAAGCCUGAGACCACUAGCGGCUUACGGAAACCAACUUGCCUCAACAAGAGUGCUUUUUGCUUUGAGCUUUUUUUACUUCCCUUCCGGCUUCCUUAGUUUGCUUGCCUGACGGUCCUCUUCCCCCGGCAUCUGUCCCACUUGUAGUAGGUUGUCGGGGCGCGAAUCCGUUGCUUCUUCUGUCAGCGGCUUAGUUUUCUUCAAGUUCUUGCUUCGCCUGACGGUUGCGUUUUCAGUAUGCUUCUUUCAUUCCGGCUUUACGUGAUAGGGGUGCUACAGCUAUCGCUAGCCCUGUAGUUUUCCAGCUGCUCUUCGGCUUGAUUCAAGAUGUAGGGAAUGCUUGAUAGUGGAGUGAGGAACGUAAUAGUCGAUAGAUACGAACUACACGGAGCAAAAUCAAUCCCGACUCACACUUUUGGUUUUGAGAUUAGGAUUAGGUUCUUUGAGUUGGUUUGAGACAGAAGCAAGUAGUCCAACUCGAUUCCUGGCUGACCGCUGAAAACAGGCCGAAAAGUAAGUGGUGUGAGCUGUCCGAU
RNAcentral lists this long non-coding RNA (3798 nucleotides) under Ricinus communis (castor bean). RNAcentral's name for it is "long non-coding RNA (RCOM_LNC003348)". The record is from RNAcentral. Lineage: Eukaryota; Viridiplantae; Streptophyta; Magnoliopsida; Malpighiales; Euphorbiaceae.